This 481-nucleotide ribosomal RNA is filed under the name uncultured Actinomycetes bacterium. RNAcentral's name for it is "bacterial SSU rRNA". It matches the Rfam family "Bacterial small subunit ribosomal RNA", at positions 235 to 732 of the family's 1533-position model. The record is from RNAcentral. Lineage: Bacteria; Bacillati; Actinomycetota; Actinomycetes.
GGGCUAUCAGCUUGUUGGUGGGGUAACGGCCUACCAAGGCGACGACGGCUAGCUGGUCUGAGAGGACGACCAGCCACACUGGGACUGAGACACGGCCCAGACUCCUACGGGAGGCAGCAGUGGGGAAUCUUGCGCAAUGGGCGAAAGCCUGACGCAGCAACGCCGCGUGGGGGAUGAAGGCCUUCGGGUUGUAAACCCCUUUCAGCAGGGACGAAUCUGACGGUACCUGCAGAAGAAGCCCCGGCCAACUACGUGCCAGCAGCCGCGGUAAUACGUAGGGGGCGAGCGUUGUCCGGAUUCAUUGGGCGUAAAGAGCUCGUAGGCGGCUUGGCAAGUCAGGUGUGAAAUCUCUGGGCUCAACUCAGAGAGGCCACCUGAUACUGCUAUGGCUAGAGUCCGGUAGGGGACCAUGGAAUUCCUGGUGUAGCGGUGAAAUGCGCAGAUAUCAGGAGGAACACCAGUGGCGAAGGCGGUGGUCUGG